Molecule: ribosomal RNA, 638 nt
Filed under: uncultured Actinomycetes bacterium
Lineage: Bacteria; Bacillati; Actinomycetota; Actinomycetes
Description: bacterial SSU rRNA
Rfam family: Bacterial small subunit ribosomal RNA
Source: RNAcentral
CGCGGCCUAUCAGCUUGUUGGUGAGGUAAAGGCUCACCAAGGCAUCGACGGGUAGCUGGUCUGAGAGGACGAUCAGCCACACUGGGACUGAGACACGGCCCAGACUCCUACGGGAGGCAGCAGUAGGGAAUCUUGCGCAAUGGGGGCAACCCUGACGCAGCAACGCCGCGUGUGGGAUGACGGCUUUCGGGUUGUAAACCACUUUCAGUGAUGACGAAAGUGACGGUAAUCACAGAAGAAGGUCCGGCCAACUACGUGCCAGCAGCCGCGGUAACACGUAGGGACCGAGCGUUGUCCGGAUUUAUUGGGCGUAAAGAGCUCAUAGGUGGUUUGUCGCGUCUGCUGUGAAAAUCCGAGGCUCAACCUCGGACCUGCAGUGGGUACGGGCAAACUAGAGUGCGGUAGGGGAGAUUGGAAGUCCUGGUGUAGCGGUGGAAUGCGCAGAUAUCAGGAGGAACACCAAUGGCGAAGGCAGAUCUCUGGGCCGUAACUGACGCUGAGGAGCGAAAGCGUGGGGAGCGAACAGGAUUAGAUACCCUGGUAGUCCACGCCGUAAACGGUGGGAACUAGAUGUGGGGUCCGUUCCACGGAUUCCGUGUCGCAGCUAACGCAUUAAGUUCCCCGCCUGGGGAGUACGG